Culex quinquefasciatus (southern house mosquito) is the source of this 1060-nucleotide long non-coding RNA. RefSeq lists it as uncharacterized. The record is from RefSeq and is a predicted model, not a curated record. Lineage: Eukaryota; Metazoa; Arthropoda; Insecta; Diptera; Culicidae. The transcript has 3 exons.
AGAGCGUACGUAGCGUAACAUUUCCAGCUCUCCGCCGUUUGCUUUGCUUUUCAUUUUCAGUCUCAGUUUGGCCGUGCCGUCGUUUGGACGCGUAAAACCGGUAGUCGCGCGCUAGUUAAUCGCAGUCACUAACGGAUCCACGUGUGCGGGUUUGUGUGUGUGUGUGUGUGCACAUAGUUGUUGCAUCUCUUUACUGCUGGCAGCAGCAUAUCACGAGGGCAAUUAUCAACACAAUCAAACAAAAGUAAAACAAAAAAGGGGAAAAAGAAGAAUCUUCCUGAGGAAGAAGUUGAACGGGAAGAAGAUUCAGAAGUGAAGUUGUUGUGUUUUGUUAGAAGUCGUGGCAUCAGAAUAGUUUUGUGGAACGAAAUUUCGUUGCAAGUGAGCGAGAGUUUUGGCGCGUAAUUCGGCGUGCUUCCGGUUGCUGCGUCGACAAAUCGACAGCGAUUCGAUACAAAAGGUUUCAAGAGCUCCAAAAACCAGUACUGGCUUGGCCCAGGCCGUGUGCAACAGUUGGGACCUCCGCGCGGCUUGGCCCCUUUCGUGUGGAAUGUUUUAGUGAGCCUCUUCUGCGCCGUUUAAAGCUGGUGAUGGUGGUAGUGGUGUAGCGAAUUCUCCCGGAAGAUUUUUGCAAAUCAUAAGAAAUAAGUGCUCUGGCGAGACGAGUUCGAGUCCAAGCGCGGAAGAAAUCUAAAUCACGAAUCUCUUGUGGUGUUUGAUGAAGUACAGAUCGAAAAUAGCGAAAAUAAAUAAAACCGAAAAGUUUGUUUGAAGUGAGCUUCACGAAGAGAUAGCUUGGUUGGUCGAUUCUAUGUAGUUGUGAGAUUUUGCAAAAAAAUUAAAAGUGAAGAAGUAGAGAUAACUGCUAAACCAGGUGAAGUGCUCGACGAAGAUCUUGUUGACUUGGUUGUUGAACGAGCGUGUGUUGCAAUUUAAGGUUAGUGGAAAGGAUACUAUUUGGAAGAUUUUUCCGGUGUCAAUUGAAGGUAACUUAAUAAAAAAAUCAAAAGGCAUUUAAAUACAAAUUUAUCAAUCCAUGCAUCACCAACAAUCAUCAUUC